CUUAACUGACGCUAAAGCUCGAAGGUGCGGGUAUCGAACAGGAUUAGAUACCCUGGUAGUCCGCACGGUAAACGAUGGAUGCCCGCUGUUGGCGAUACAAUGUCAGCGGCCAAGCGAAAGCGUUAAGCAUCCCACCUGGGGAGUACGCCGGCAACGGUGAAACUCAAAGGAAUUGACGGGGGCCCGCACAAGCGGAGGAACAUGUGGUUUAAUUCGAUGAUACGCGAGGAACCUUACCCGGGCUUGAACUGCAGCUGAACGAUUCAGAGAUGAUGAGGUCCUUCGGGACAGCUGUGGAGGUGCUGCAUGGUUGUCGUCAGCUCGUGCCGUGAGGUGUCGGCUUAAGUGCCAUAACGAGCGCAACCCUUUUCUCUAGUUGCCAUCAGGUUAUGCUGGGCACUCUAGAGACACUGCCGCCGUAAGGUGUGAGGAAGGUGGGGAUGACGUCAAAUCAGCACGGCCCUUACGUCCGGGGCUACACACGUGUUACAAUGGGUGGUACAGAGAGUUGGUUGUUUGCAAGAACGAUCUAAUCCUUAAAGCCAUCCUCAGUUCGGAUUGGGGUCUGCAACCCGACCCCAUGAAGCUGGAUUCGCUAGU
This 600-nucleotide ribosomal RNA is filed under the name uncultured bacterium. Its description in RNAcentral is "bacterial SSU rRNA". It matches the Rfam family "Bacterial small subunit ribosomal RNA", at positions 735 to 1339 of the family's 1533-position model. The record is from RNAcentral.